RNAcentral lists this ribosomal RNA (792 nucleotides) under uncultured bacterium. RNAcentral's name for it is "bacterial SSU rRNA". It matches the Rfam family "Bacterial small subunit ribosomal RNA", at positions 8 to 796 of the family's 1533-position model. The record is from RNAcentral.
AGAGUUUGAUCCUGGCUCAGGAUGAACGCUAGCGGCAGGCUUAAUACAUGCAAGUCGAGGGGCAGCAGGUCCCGCAAGGGAUGCUGGCGACCGGCAAACGGGUGCGGAACACGUACACAACUUUCCUUUAAGUGGGGAAUAGCCCGGGGAAACCCGGAUUAAUACCCCGUAACAUUAUGAGAUGGCAUCGUCUUAUAAUUAUAGCUCCGGCGCUUAAAGAUGGGUGUGCGGCUGAUUAGGUAGUUGGCGGGGUAACGGCCCACCAAGCCUACGAUCAGUAACUGGUGUGAGAGCACGACCAGUCACACGGGCACUGAGACACGGGCCCGACUCCUACGGGAGGCAGCAGUAAGGAAUAUUGGUCAAUGGACGCAAGUCUGAACCAGCCAUGCCGCGUGGAGGAUGAAGGUCCUCUGGAUUGUAAACUUCUUUUAUCUGGGAAGAAACCCAUAUUUUCUAGUGUGGUUGACGGUACCAGAUGAAUAAGCACCGGCUAACUCCGUGCCAGCAGCCGCGGUAAUACGGAGGGUGCAAGCGUUAUCCGGAUUCACUGGGUUUAAAGGGUGCGUAGGCGGACAAGUAAGUCAGUGGUGAAAUCUCUGGGCUUAACUCAGAACUGCCGUUGAUACUAUUUGUCUUGAAUAUCAUGGAGGUAAGCGGAAUAUGUCAUGUAGCGGUGAAAUGCUUAGAUAUGACAUAGAACACCGAUAGCGAAGGCAGCUUACUACAUGUUAAUUGACGCUGAGGCACGAAAGCGUGGGGAGCAAACAGGAUUAGAUACCCUAGUAGUCC